Molecule: ribosomal RNA, 497 nt
Filed under: uncultured bacterium
Lineage: Bacteria
Description: partial 16S ribosomal RNA
Rfam family: Bacterial small subunit ribosomal RNA
Source: RNAcentral
GAUGAACGCUGGCGGCGUGCCUAAUACAUGCAAGUCGAGCGAACAGACGAGGAGCUUGCUCCUCUGACGUUAGCGGCGGACGGGUGAGUAACACGUGGAUAACCUACUUAUAAGACUGGGAUAACUUCGGGAAACCGGAGCUAAUACCGGAUAAUAUAUUGAACCGCAUGGUUCAAUAGUGAAAGACGGUUUUGCUGUCACUUAUAGAUGGAUUCGCGCCGCAUUAGCUAGUUGGUAAGGUAACGGCUUACCAAGGCAACGAUGCGUAGCCGACCUGAGAGGGUGAUCAGCCACACUGGAACUGAGACACGGUCCAGACUCCUACGGGAGGCAGCAGUAGGGAAUCUUCCGCAAUGGGCGAAAGCCUGACGGAGCAACGCCGCGUGAGUGAUGAAGGUCUUCGGAUCGUAAAACUCUUUUAUUAGGAAAGAACAAAUGUGUAAGUAACUAUGCACGUCUUGACGGUACCUAAUCAGAAAGCCACGGCUAACUACGUG